Molecule: small RNA, 2804 nt
Filed under: Pan troglodytes (chimpanzee)
Lineage: Eukaryota; Metazoa; Chordata; Mammalia; Primates; Hominidae
Description: processed transcript
Source: RNAcentral
AUCUUCUGGUUUAUUGUGGGAAUACAAACAAGAUAAUGUCCUGUUCUGGCCCAGAUGUGAGUGACCAGAACAGCAUGGACUGUCCCCAGCUCUACAAACCGGGACAGCUGAAUCUGCUUUUUAACAAGCGUAAAUUUUUCAUUUGCGUGUUGCAUGGAAUCUACACCUCAUUAGUCCUUUUCUUCAUCCCCUAUGGGGCCUUUUACAACGUGGCUGGAGAAGAUGGGCAACAUAUUGCUGACUACCAGUCCUUUGCAGUUACCAUGGCCACAUCUUUGGUCAUUGUGGUCAGUGUGCAGAUAGCCUUGGAUACCAGUUACUGGACUUUCAUUAAUCACGUCUUCAUCUGGGGGAGCAUUGCCAUUUAUUUCUCCAUUUUAUUUACAAUGCACAGUAAUGGCAUCUUUGGCAUCUUCCCAAACCAGUUUCCAUUUGUUGGUAAUGCACGACAUUCCCUGACCCAGAAGUGCAUCUGGCUUGUAAUUCUCUUAACAACAGUGGCUUCGGUUAUGCCAGUGGUGGCAUUCAGAUUUUUGAAGGUGGAUUUAUACCCAACCCUGAGUGAUCAGAUCCGCCGGUGGCAGAAGGCUCAAAAGAAGGCAAGGCCUCCAAGUAGCCGAAGGCCUCGGACCCGCAGGUCAAGCUCAAGAAGGUCUGGAUAUGCUUUUGCUCACCAAGAAGGCUAUGGAGAGCUUAUCACAUCUGGAAAAAAUAUGCGAGCUAAAAAUCCACCCCCAACAUCAGGGCUGGAAAAGACACAUUAUAAUAGCACUAGCUGGAUUGAAAAUUUAUGUAAGAAAACCACAGACACAGUGAGCAGCUUUAGCCAGGAUAAAACAGUGAAACUGUGAGUCAAUAUGAAUUUAAACCACAUAGUUAUCUUUUCACUUCAGGUGGAGCUGAAAUUCUGCUGGCUCCAGAGUUUGAGAUUUGAGGCAAGAGGUGGGGCAGGCAGAUUGCCUCACUUAACUUAAAUCUGCGGCAGACAACUGCCAGUGCCCAUCAAACAGGAGUGUGCGCUAUGGAAAACCAGGCCAGAGGGUCACUGUCUAGUUUGUGAUUUGGUGGACAAAACACUCGCUGUUACAAGUACAGAUUUUUUUUUUUUAAUCAACCUAGAUACCAUUUGACCUGAACUUUAGAAUCUUAUUUAUGGAGAAAAACUUGUAAAGCUGCAUAUUCACUGAAUGGAUCCUCAGGCGGAUAAAAGGGUGCAUUUUAAAGGUAUAUAUCCAAGCUGAAAAGCAUGCCUAUUGACAGAUAAACAUGUAUCUGUAAGAUCAGCCUUUCCCAAGGUAUACUUUUACAAUUUAAAGCGUGUACUGUGUUGCUUUCAGACUGAGUUGCAUGUCACUCUUUAGUCUUGAUAUCUACCUGUCUGUUCAGCCAGGACAACAAAUGGCUUCCAAGCCUGAAGAAUACAAAAGUGUGCUUGUGUUUCUCAUUUUUAUACCAGUCUAGGGACAAAGGAGACUGAACAUCUUUGCAGCAGGAUAGGCUGGUAAUUUGAUCAAAUUUAUUCAAAAAGCUCUCAGUCUGUGUCAUGUAAGGACAUGCUUAUGAAAUGUGAGAGAGGCUCGCCACUAAGUAUUCUAAAUACUUUUCAAUGGCUUUUCUAACAACCUCAGUAGUAAUUUGCUGAGCAUCAUCCAGACCAUUAAUAGAAUCAGCAAAGCACUGGAAUUUCACACUUUAAUGAUAAUAUUCCAUAUAGUCUAUGGGCAAAUAUUUUCAACAUUUCCAAUUUUUAAAGCUUCAGAAUUGAAGCCAAACAAAUUAAUAAAUAAUUGUUUAAAUUACUAUUUAAAAACUCAGGUUUAGAUUGUUUAAAAUUAGUUGCUUUUGAUACUCAGCUGUCAUGUUUAUAAUUCAAACAUGUAGUAAACAUAUGUAGGUAAGGUUGUUUUUUUGGAGAUGUUGCAGCUCAAAUUUCAGUCCACAUAUGAAUCAUCAGUGUAUUUUCCAUAAAGUGAUUCGGGCAUAUUUGUGUGAAAACCUCAGUUCUGUCACUUCUUACCUCUAUAAACUUGGACGAUAAUGUGCCUUCUCUGAGACUCAGUUUCUUCCUCUGUAAAAUGAGGACAUACUACCUACCUCACGUGGUUGGUUGAUGAUUGUCUGUCAAAGCACAAACUCUGAAAUUAUUAAAAACAUAAUUAUUUCAUAAACAGAUGAGUUAAGUUCCAGUUAACUCAACAUCAGUAUAACAGAGCAAUUGGAAGAGAAUAUGAAAAAACUGGAAUCUAAAUAGUCAGUGAGGAAGGCUUUGAUAGAAUGAAAUUGCCAGAAAGAUAUAAAACUGGUUAGGGUCCUACAGGGAACUAAAAUUAUAACCGUGGAGGUACAUUUCUCUACCAGAAAGCAAAAAUAAAGCAUCAUGUCUUAAUGGUUUUCUACAAAUCAACUUCUAAUUCUACAGAGUCCUUAAUCUGGUCCCUAUUAAAUUCUUGGUCAGACAAAGUUACAUUUCCCAAGAGAGUCAGGUGACACUUGAGUGAGUUUGAUGGAUAAUGAGCUAAUGUGAUAUUUAUAGGUCACAAUUUUUUAAAACCAAAAUUUUCAAGUCUGGGAUAAUUUUUCCUAAAUGGGAUCAAAUGAAAUAAUAUGUGUAAAAGAGUCAAACGCAGUCCUUUACCAUAGUAACUGCCUAUGGACGUUGUCUUUCCCUUACAUGCCUGCCUACACUUAACCAGAUGUUGGUUUUCAAUGUCUAAUUUGUCAUUAGUUUCACCACAUUUGCUCACUUUUUGUAACAUUUUUGCAAGAUUUGAAAACUUUCAGUAAAUGUUUUGGCACUAUUGGUA